UCUAAUUGAAAAAAAUAAAAUGUCAAUUUGGUAUGAUAUAUAUGAUAUAAUAAAUAAAUAUCUACAAACAUUAUCUCAUAUAUACGUACAAUUUUAAACUAUCCUUGACAAAUAUGAUAUAUAAGUUUGGAUAACCGGUUGAAAAAAAAAAUUGGUAGUUAUAUUUAAUUCUUAAAAUCUCAAAAUAUUGAACAAAAUUCAACUUUGGGACAUAUAAAUCUCUACUUUUGGACGAUUAUAUGAAAUUUUACAUAUAUUAAAAUUAUAUUUAGUUACAUGUAAAUGGUGUUAUU
This 293-nucleotide long non-coding RNA is filed under the name Capsella rubella. RNAcentral's name for it is "long non-coding RNA (CRUB_LNC003527)". Lineage: Eukaryota; Viridiplantae; Streptophyta; Magnoliopsida; Brassicales; Brassicaceae. The record is from RNAcentral.